RNAcentral lists this long non-coding RNA (4875 nucleotides) under Homo sapiens (human). RNAcentral's name for it is "HSALNT0335615". The record is from RNAcentral. Lineage: Eukaryota; Metazoa; Chordata; Mammalia; Primates; Hominidae.
AGACGGAGGCACGCUCUGUCGUCCAGACUGGAGUGCAAUGGCCCACCCUCUCAGCUCACUGCAACCUCCGCCUCUCGAGUUCAAGCGAUUCUUCUGUCUCAACCUCCCGAGUAACUGGGAUUACAGGCGUGCGCCACCAUGCCUGGCUAAUAUUUUGUAUUUUUAGUAGAGACAGGGUUUCACUGUGUGGGUCAGGCUGGUCUCAAACCCCUGAUCUCAGGUGAUCCACCCGCCUUGGCCUCCUAAAGUGCUGGGAUUACAGGCAUGAGCCACAGCGCCCUGCCCUGAAGUAUUUUUUUUGAUGUAUCUCAAGCCCAAUUGUUCUGGGGAGUGGGGCCAAUUUUGCUCCCAGGGACAAAUCUGGAGACCUUUAUGGUUAUCACAACUAUUCAUUAUGGGGGUGCUACUAGCAUCUAGUGCAUCAAGGCCAGGGACGCUGCUAAGCAUUCUGUUAUGUAUGGGACAACCCCUUACAACAGUUAUCCGUCGUAAAUGGCAGUGGUGCAAAAUUAAGAAAGAAACCCUGCCCCAGACUGGUUGUUUACUUUCUGCUCAGGGCUUGCUAUUUCAGCAACACUAAACUGCCUGCAAUGACCACAGGUUGUUACCCUCUACUAUUGUUGACUGGAGUCACCUCCCGUUGUUAAUGUCUGUUGUUAUUGUCUGGGCCAUUCCUUGCUGUUACUUGCCUCAUUGACUUUGCAUUUCCUUUCCUUAGAAGGCUACAUCUCUCUUCUAUGCCCUGCUCAGUUAACUUGUUUGUUCUGGAAGACUGCUUUUGAAAUGGUCUUCCCCAGGAAGACUUUUCUGACUUUACCCUUUCCUCUUCCUCUUAAUCUUUGUUUCAACUAACUGAUUCUCAGUAGUUGAUUGAGAGUAUGUCCAGAGAAGGGGAUUGUGUAGCUGUAGUGUCCAAUACAGUGUCUGAUAUGCAGUAGGCAGUAAAUGUUUAUUGACUGUAUUAACAGAUUAAGGUACUCCCAAAUUGUGAUACUUUUGUCAAUGAAAAGUGUCAAACUCUAAAAUAUUCUAAGAGAUUUAUUCUGAGCUAAAUGUGAGUGACCAUGGCUCAUGACACAGCCCCAGGAGAUCCUGAGAAAAUGUGCCCAAGGUGGUCGGGCUACAGCUUGGUUUUAUACAUUUUAGGGAGACCUAAGCCAUCACUCAGUACAUGUAAGAUGUACAUUGAUUUGGUCUGGAAAGCUGGGACAACUCGAAGGGUGAGGGGGGCGGUCUUCCAAGUCACAGGUGGAUUCAAAGAUUUGCUGACUGGCAAUUGGGUGAGAGUUCAUUUAAAUCCCUGGAAUCAGUAGAAUGGAGUGUCUAGGUUAAGAUAGGGGUGUGGAGGCUGGGCACAGUGGCACGCGCCUGUAAUCCCAGCACUUUGGGAGGCUGAGGCGGGUGGAUCACAAGCUCAGGAGAUCGACAUCAUUCUGGCUAACAUGGUGAAACCCUGUCUUUACUAAAAAUAUGAAAAAUUAGCUGGGCAUGGUGGCGGGCACCUGUAGUCCCAGCUACUCAGGUGGCUGAGGCAGGAGAAUGGCGUGAACCCGGGAGGUGGAACUUGCAGUGAGCUGAGAUCGCACCACUGCACUCCAGCGUGGGUGACAGAGCGAGACUCUGUCUCAAAAAAAAAAAAAAAAAAAGAUAGGGGUGUGGAGACCAAGGUUCAUAUUAUGCAAAUGAAGCCUCCAGGUAACAGGUUUCAGAGAGAACAGAUUGCAAAUGUUUCUUUUUUUAAAAUUUUUAUUAUUUUUUAAAGAGAUAGGAUCUUGCUUUGUUGUCCAGGCUGGUCUAGAACUCCUAGGCUCAAGUGAUCCACCUACCUCAGCCUCCCAAAGUGCUGGGAUUAUAAGCCUAGCCUGUAAAUGAUUUUUUUUUUUCCCCCAAAUGCAGUCUCCUCACCCCCGCCCCUAGACGGAGAUGGAGUCUUGCUCUGUCACCCAGGCUGGACUGCAGCGGCGCGAUCUCAACUCACUGCAACCUCUGCCCCCUGGGUUCAAGCAGUUCUCCUGCCUCAGCCUCUCGAGUAGCCGGGAUUACAGGCACCUGCCACUGCGCCUGGCUAAUUUUUGUAUUUUUAGUAGAGACGGGGUUUCACCAUGUUAGCCAGGCUGGUCUCGAACUCCUGACCUCAGGUGAUCCACCCGCGUCGGCCUCCCAAAGUCCUGGGAUUACAGGUGUGAGCCGCUGCGCCCAGCCACAAAACAGUCUUUAUUAUGAGAAAGCAGUGUUAUCUAGUCUUUAUUAUAAGAAAGCAAUGCUAUCUGGUUUCUUUCUAAUAAAAUAAAAGCAGUUUUCUUAAAUAAUUUACAAAGGGCAGAAAUUGCUCUUGAACAGGGCUACCCCUCCUGGCACACCCACAGUGCUCUGCCUUGAACAUAUAAAUAGGUACCUGUGAGCCCAGGGUUUAAGCCUGGAACUAUCUCCUAUGCCUUCCUCCAGGUCCCUGGUAGGGAAAGCAGGGAUGAGAGUGGUGCCCCCAAGGGCCUUGGCACUGGAAACACAGUGGGCGAGUGACUCUGUGGAUGACUCCCCAAAAACCAAGCACCUGGUUUGAGUUCAGAGCUCUCAAACAUCUGAUGCCAGCUCUUCACAUUGUAGAUGAAGCAAAUACCAGGCUCAAGGUCAAGUAUACGAUGCAUUACUAAACCCAAGAGUCCCCUUGGGGAGUAGAAGGAACAAUUCUCCCCACCUCUGCAAGAUCUCCCCAAGACACUCUCAGGCUGUGGCAGGCAGUCACUGAUGGGUCCAGAUGUGGCUGGAGCAGGGGGGCUCUGGGCUCCUUGCUAGUCAGGUCUUUGUUAGCAGUGGCCCAGGGGUACUGAUGACUCCUGGGAGCUUCCGCCAGGAAGCUCAUGGGGAAGCACAGACAUUCUGGGGUACGAAGCCUUGGUGGUCAGACAGGGCUUGUUUCCUGCAGGGCACUUCCUCAGUCAUGAAUGAGAGUGUCAUUUCACCACUCUCUUCCGCCAUAAUGGCUUCAUCCAGCUCUUGGGACAGCUUCUGGAGAUGCCGAAUUCCUGCUCCCCAUAGGUGCUAGGUCACUAUCAGAUGCGCUGGGAGAGCAGAGGAGCUCUGUCAAGGAGUAGGGGCUCUGGAAGGCAGUCUCCCGCCUCCACUGCCGUAGAGGGUAGGCACGUGAGCCUGUCCAGGUAGAGAGGUGGUGAUGCACAGGGGUCUGUAGCUGAGUGGUCAGGGGCAGCUCCAUACAGCUGAAUCCUCUUCUGGCUCAGGCUGUGAGUUGGGGAGACACUGCUCUCCCUUUUGUACCCCUUUCUUCCUCCUCCUGGCCUUCACCUGGGUCUCCACCAGACACUUGGUGCUACUUUGGCAGGACUCCUGGAUUCUCUGUGACAUGGCACCCAGGGUGCUCUUAGCUGAGCGAGCUGCAGCCUGGAGUCUCUUACUGCCCUGACCCUGGUUUCUAGGGGUUUCUAGGAGGUACCUGUCCGGAGGUUGAGGUUGACGGCUCUUAGGGGCAGCCUUCUUUGGAACUGUCUGCACAGAGAACCCAGGGCCCUGGCGGAGAUCUCCCAAUGGCUAACCAUAGGCUGCCGCUCCUUGCUGUCCAGCGGCUGCUCCUGGUGCUGGAGAGAUCUCCGGUGCAUGGAGGCCCUCGCAUCCUGCCACUGAGAAACCAUCUGUCUGGCCAAGAGUCUACUCUGCCCACUAGACCUCAACACCCCCAACAUGUGCCUGAAGCCGAGCACUGUAAAUGUUAAAUGUUUCUUAUAAGACUUAAAGAGACAACUUUGCAGGGCCAUUUCAAAAUUUGUCAAAGCUAUAUAUUUUGGGCCAGAUGUGGUGGUUCAUGCCUGUCAUCACAGCACUGUUGGAGGCUGAGGGAGGAGGAUUGUUUGGACCCAGGAGUUUGAGACCAGCUUGGGCAACAUAGCAGAGAGACUCUGUCUCUACCAAAAAAAAAAAAAAAAGGAGGGGGAUUAAAGAACACCUGAAAUACUUCUUUCAGGGUUUGCUGUCUGUCAUAUUUGUAUCUUAUUGCUACUAGUAAUCUGUUUUGUCAGUCCUAAGGUCUCUGUUUUAAUGUUAAUGCUGGUUAGCUGUGCCAGAAUUCUGAAGGGAAGAGAGUAUAAUGAGGCGUGUCUGACCACCCAUUCCCAGCAUGGCCUGAACUAGUGUUUCAGGUUUACUUUAGAAUGCACUUGACUGAAUGGAGAAGGAUUCACCUUCAUUCAGUUGGUUGGGGGGGCUUAGAAUUUUAUUUUUGGUUUAUGCUUUCUUUUUUAUUUUUUAAGACAGGAUCUGGAGAGCAGUAGCCUUGACAUCCUAGGUUCAACUGAUCAUCUUACUUUAGGACCCUCCCCAUCCCCUCCAGUAGCUGGAACUAUAGGCAUGCCACCGCGUCUGGCUAAUUUUUUUUUUUUUUUUUUUAAAUCUUAGGUAGAAACAAGGUCUUGCUGUGUUGCCUAGGCUGGUCUCAAACUCCUGGGCUCAAGCAGUCCUCCCACCUUGGCCACCCAAAAUGCUGGAAUUACAGGCAUACUUACUUAGUUUUGGCAGAACAUAGCUUUAACUUUCAGUGUUUUAAGCAAAUGAUGAGAGUGAUGAUGCUUUAAUGCUUCCCCUGCCCGAAACAGUGUCUCCUUUUAUUGCCUGGGCUAGCGUACAGUGAUCAUAGCUCACUUCAGCCUUGACCUCCUGGGCUCAAAUGGUCCUCCCACCUCAUCCUUCUGAGUAGCUGGGACAACAGGUGCACAAUACCAUGCCUGGCUAAUUUCUUUCUUUUUUGUUUUUUUUUUUUUUUUUGAGACAGAGUCUGCUCUGUCACCCAGGCUGGAGUGCAAUGGCAUGAUCUUGGCUCACUUCAACCUCCGCCUCCUGGGUUCAAGCAAUUCUCCUGUUUCAGCCUCC